UUCAGCACAGGUUACGCUCAGGGACUUGAACUUGUCUGUGGGGUGUUCUCAGAUCCCCAGGGCAGGCCCUGGUGGCACCAUGGGACAUAAAGGUCAGAUCCGGAGCGGGGACAGGAACAAAGGCGGUUGUCCCCCACUCUACCUCCCAAGCCCGCCAGUCGCUCCUGGUUCCUGAGGACACACACUACGAGGGAGAGCAGGGAAAGCCGUUCCAGAGAACCAGAGACUCCUGCCUGGCCCUGUCUCCUCUCGGAGCAGCAUGGCCCAGUCCAUAGGGUCAGUCGGUGGUCACCGGAAAACACACCUUGCUUUGGAGACAGUGGGAGGUCGGGGCCUGCUAUGGGGGUGAACGUCAGUGAAGGUCAGGGGUCACCAGCGUGAAGAGUGGGUUCGGACACAUCUUGGGUGGAGAUCUGUCCCAGGCUACCUGGGUCCUUCAUCCAUCUCCUGGCGCUGUGUGCUCAGGCCACGGUCCACUCUACGAUCUGAUCCACACCAUGAAAGGCUUUAGUGGCUCUGGCCCAACCUAGUCUGCACCCAGCAACCCUGGCUGGUGCCCCAUGGCCCACCGCCAGCCCACUCUGGUACCCAGGGCAAGGCCUCAGGCUCCUGAUCUCACAGUCUGGCGGCCCCACAGCCAUCAAAGGCCACAUCGCUAGGCAGGGGGCUAAAAAUAUGCAGAGAGUAAUUUCUCAUUACAGAAUAAAUUGUACCAAAUUGCC
Long non-coding RNA from Peromyscus californicus insignis, 722 nucleotides. RefSeq lists it as uncharacterized. NCBI's taxonomy places the organism in Eukaryota, Metazoa, Chordata, Mammalia, Rodentia, Cricetidae. The transcript has 2 exons. The record is from RefSeq and is a predicted model, not a curated record.